CACCGGCAGCUCUAGUGGUAGCUGUUUUUAUUGGGCCUAAAGCGUUCGUAGCCGGUUUAAUAAGUCUUUGGUGAAAUCUUGUAGCUUAACUGCGGGAAUUGCUGAGGAUACUGUUAGGCUUGAGGUCGGGAGAGGCUAGCGGUACUCCGGGGGUAGGGGUGAAAUCCUGUAAUCCUUGGAGGACCACCUGUGGCGAAGGCGGCUAGCUGGAACGAACCUGACGGUGAGGGACGAAAGCCAGGGGCGCGAA
This 250-nucleotide ribosomal RNA is filed under the name uncultured prokaryote. Its description in RNAcentral is "partial 16S ribosomal RNA". It matches the Rfam family "Archaeal small subunit ribosomal RNA", at positions 474 to 723 of the family's 1478-position model. The record is from RNAcentral.